RNAcentral lists this ribosomal RNA (204 nucleotides) under uncultured bacterium. RNAcentral's name for it is "partial 16S ribosomal RNA". It matches the Rfam family "Bacterial small subunit ribosomal RNA", at positions 328 to 544 of the family's 1533-position model. The record is from RNAcentral.
ACGCUCGACACCUACGGAGGCAGCAGUGGGGAAUAUUGCACAAUGGGGGAAACCCUGAUGCAGCGACGCCGCGUGAGCGAAGAAGUAUUUCGGUAUGUAAAGCUCUAUCAGCAGGGAAGAAACUGACGGUACCUGACUAAGAAGCACCGGCUAAAUACGUGCCAACAGCCGCCGGGUAAUACUGAGCGGGCGUGGCGAAGGACG